UACGGAGGGGGCAAGCGUUAUUCGGAAUUACUGGGCGUAAAGGGCGCGUAGGCGGCCGCCUAAGUCAGACGUGAAAUCCCUCGGCUCAACCUGGGAACCGCGCUUGAGACUGGCACGCUCGAGUUCGGGAGAGGAUGGUGGAAUUCCCAGUGUAGAGGUGAAAUUCGUAGAUAUUGGGAAGAACACCGAUGGCGAAGGCAGCCAUCUGGACCGACACUGACGCUGAGGCGCGAAAGCGUGGGGAGCAAACAGG
This 253-nucleotide ribosomal RNA is filed under the name uncultured bacterium. Its description in RNAcentral is "partial 16S ribosomal RNA". It matches the Rfam family "Bacterial small subunit ribosomal RNA", at positions 524 to 776 of the family's 1533-position model. The record is from RNAcentral.